AUUGAACGCUGGCGGCAGGCCUAACACAUGCAAGUCGAACGGUAACAGGAAGCAGCUUGCUGCUUCGCUGACGAGUGGCGGACGGGUGAGUAAUGUCUGGGAAGCUGCCUGAUGGAGGGGGAUAACUACUGGAAACGGUAGCUAAUACCGCAUAAUGUCGCAAGACCAAAGAGGGGGAUCUUCGGGCCUCUUGCCAUCGGAUGUGCCCAGAUGGGAUUAGCUUGUUGGUGGGGUAACGGCUCACCAAGGCGACGAUCCCUAGCUGGUCUGAGAGGAUGACCAGCCACACUGGAACUGAGACACGGUCCAGACUCCUACGGGAGGCAGCAGUGGGGAAUAUUGCACAAUGGGCGCAAGCCUGAUGCAGCCAUGCCGCGUGUAUGAAGAAGGCCUUCGGGUUGUAAAGUACUUUCAGCGGGGAGGAAGGGAGUAAAGUUAAUACCUUUGCUCAUUGACGUUACCCGCAGAAGAAGCACCGGCUAACUCCGUG
Molecule: ribosomal RNA, 490 nt
Filed under: uncultured bacterium
Lineage: Bacteria
Description: partial 16S ribosomal RNA
Rfam family: Bacterial small subunit ribosomal RNA
Source: RNAcentral